GGGCGGAUGGCGAAAUUGGCAGACGCGCUACGUUCAGAGCGUAGUGGGCUUACGCUCAUGAGGGUUCAAGUCCCUCUCCGCCCACCA
This 87-nucleotide transfer RNA is filed under the name Candidatus Parcubacteria bacterium. Its description in RNAcentral is "tRNA-Leu". It matches the Rfam family "tRNA". From Rfam's summary of the family: Transfer RNA (tRNA) molecules are approximately 80 nucleotides in length. Their secondary structure includes four short double-helical elements and three loops (D, anti-codon, and T loops). Lineage: Bacteria; Candidatus Parcubacteria. The record is from RNAcentral.